Molecule: long non-coding RNA, 258 nt
Organism: Esox lucius (northern pike)
Lineage: Eukaryota; Metazoa; Chordata; Actinopteri; Esociformes; Esocidae
Exons: 3
Source: RefSeq, a predicted model, not a curated record
UGUCUUGUCACAAACUGUACAUUUGGCGCUGACAGGCAGGUUGCCUUCCAGCCACUGGUGAGGCAUAGAGAUCUUGAGAGAGAGGAAGUCAUUUUUAUUAUCCACAGGCAUCCAUGGCAUCAAAAGUCAACAAGACAACCACACUUUGCUGAAAGACCAACUACCCCAAAAGCCUGUGUCCUGCUACCCAUGGCGCAUCGUGACAGAAAGACCAAAUUCAAAGGAAACAACAGAUGGACGGUAGGGGAACUCCACGGA